This 360-nucleotide ribosomal RNA is filed under the name Escherichia coli. RNAcentral describes it as "bacterial SSU rRNA". It matches the Rfam family "Bacterial small subunit ribosomal RNA", at positions 1 to 357 of the family's 1533-position model. The record is from RNAcentral. Lineage: Bacteria; Pseudomonadati; Pseudomonadota; Gammaproteobacteria; Enterobacterales; Enterobacteriaceae.
AAAUUGAAGAGUUUGAUCAUGGCUCAGAUUGAACGCUGGCGGCAGGCCUAACACAUGCAAGUCGAACGGUAACAGGAAGAAGCUUGCUUCUUUGCUGACGAGUGGCGGACGGGUGAGUAAUGUCUGGGAAACUGCCUGAUGGAGGGGGAUAACUACUGGAAACGGUAGCUAAUACCGCAUAACGUCGCAAGACCAAAGAGGGGGACCUUCGGGCCUCUUGCCAUCGGAUGUGCCCAGAUGGGAUUAGCUAGUAGGUGGGGUAACGGCUCACCUAGGCGACGAUCCCUAGCUGGUCUGAGAGGAUGACCAGCCACACUGGAACUGAGACACGGUCCAGACUCCUACGGGAGGCAGCAGUGG